UACAUAGGGGGCAAGCGUUGUUCGGAAUUACUGGGCGUAAAGGGCGCGUAGGCGGUCCGAUAAGUCCCGUGUGAAAUCCCUCGGCUCAACUGAGGAAUGGCACGGGAAACUGACGGGCUUGAGUUCGGGAGAGGGAAGCGGAAUUCCGGGUGUAGCGGUGAAAUGCGUAGAUAUCCGGAGGAACACCGGUGGCGAAGGCGGCUUCCUGGACCGACACUGACGCUGAGGCGCGAAAGCUAGGGGAGCAAACGGG
Molecule: ribosomal RNA, 253 nt
Filed under: uncultured bacterium
Lineage: Bacteria
Description: partial 16S ribosomal RNA
Rfam family: Bacterial small subunit ribosomal RNA
Source: RNAcentral